RNAcentral lists this transfer RNA (72 nucleotides) under Capra hircus (goat). It matches the Rfam family "tRNA". Rfam says of the family: Transfer RNA (tRNA) molecules are approximately 80 nucleotides in length. Their secondary structure includes four short double-helical elements and three loops (D, anti-codon, and T loops). The record is from Rfam by way of RNAcentral. Lineage: Eukaryota; Metazoa; Chordata; Mammalia; Artiodactyla; Bovidae. RNAcentral also lists the same sequence under 1 other name.
UCCCUGGUGGCUCAGACGGUAAAGAAUCUGCCUGCAAUGCGGGAGGCCCAGGUUCAAUCCCUGGUCAGGAAG